CCCCAGGCUGCUGCCCCGAUGCGCUGCGCCGGGAGCCGUGGCCGAGUCGCCGCCGCAGCUGCAGGGGCGCCCGGGCCGGGUGACGCCGCUGCCGCCGCGCGCGCCCCUCCCAGAACUUGCAGGCCGCAUGGAGCCCCGGGAGGGCGCCAGCCAGGGAGGCACAGUGAAGGAGGUGGAGGUGCCACAGGCUGCCCUGGGCACCCCAGCUCCUGGGACGGGGACCAGUGGCCACUCGCCUGUGGUCGAGGAGGAGGGGGGCACCCCCGCGCCGGCACCAGGGCUCCUGCAGGUCACGGAGAGGCGGCAGCCCCUGAGCAGUGUCUCCUCCCUGGAGGUGCACUUCGACCUCCUGGACCUCACCGAGCUCACCGACAUGUCCGACCAGGAGCUGGCCGAGGUCUUCGCCGACUCUGACGACGAGAACCUGACCAGCGACUCGCCCACAGGCCUCCACCCGCUGCCCAGGGCCGGCUGUCUGCGCUCCCCUUCUUGGACACGCACCAGGGCAGAGCAGAAGCGGGAGAAGCAGCCUCUGGGCGACCCGGAGCGGCAGCCUGCCGUUGCAGACACGUUUCUGACCGUGGAGAGGCCCAAAGAGGACUAGGCCAGCUGGCCGCAGGGCCGAGGCCCCUGGACACUGCCCACCCCGUGUGGAUCCAGGCUGGGGCCUCAGGGCACCUCAGCAGCAGCUUGGCCCCGUGGCCUUACGUCCAGCCCCUUCCUGGUCCCUGGAUCAGGGACAAUGUUGGGGGAUGAGACGAGAGUGGCCUGGGUCUUCUGGAAACUUCUGUCUGCAGGACUGGUUUUCUUGUCAGCCACCAGACUUCCGGGUGGGUGUGGGGAGAGCAGAGGCACAGAGGGGAGAGGUACCUGGCGCCCUCUCCAGGGUCUCGGGGUUCCAGACUGUGAAGGGCCAUGCCGAGCUCCAGCCACAGAUGAGGGCAGGGCACUCAGUCUGGAAGCUCACCACCGUGACUCCAGCCCUGCCCCCUUCCUGCCGCCCAGGGCAGACCCCCAGCCCUGGUCCCUGUGUGACAGGGACCCUCCCCAGCCCAGGACACCAACCACACCCUGAUACUCAGGCUGCUGGGCAGGGGAGCAGCAGGCAGGGCUCAUCCUCUCCGCCCCUGCCUGACAGUCCCCGUGGCCGCCACACACACACACACGCGCGGGCGCGCGCGCACAUGGGUCUGCGUCCUGGCCAGCGUUCCAGCUGCCGUGCAAGAGCCCGAGGGGCACCCAGUGCUGCGUACCUGCCAGGGAACAGAACAGGCUCCUGUCGGACAGCAGGUCCAAGAACAGUUUUAAACGAAAGGUGUCCGCUUGCUUUUUGUCCCCAAGGCCACCAGCCCUGAUCCCUUACCCACAAAAACGUUUCUGCAGAAGUGGCUCCUCUGCUGGAGCCUAUGGAGCCCUGGGCACGUGGGGGCCUCUGUGAGCUCCACCAGCCCUGCCAGGAUGGGACCUGGACCGGAUGCCUCUUCUCCACAUGUGAGGGCAACACGGGUUCUUCCCUGCAAACUGACCCGGCAAGGGCAGCACACGUCCCCCCCAACCCAAUUCCUCUCCUUGCUGCAGCUUCUGCAUAACUCACUUCCAAAAAGCAGGAUUAAAACGUCACCCAUCCCAA
This 1630-nucleotide long non-coding RNA is filed under the name Sus scrofa (pig). Its description in RNAcentral is "lncRNA (ENSSSCG00030074515.1)". Lineage: Eukaryota; Metazoa; Chordata; Mammalia; Artiodactyla; Suidae. The record is from RNAcentral.